RNAcentral lists this long non-coding RNA (728 nucleotides) under Homo sapiens (human). RNAcentral's name for it is "HSALNT0081729". Lineage: Eukaryota; Metazoa; Chordata; Mammalia; Primates; Hominidae. The record is from RNAcentral.
GAGGCACUGCUGUCAGGAUGGCUUCCAUUUUAGCCAAAGUGAAAAACCUUUUUAUACCAAUUUUUACAUUUUUAUAUGCUGUUUCGUAGAGCCUUAAGGAAGACAAUUUCAUCUUUUUAGUCUUCAUGUUCCUCCUCAUGCCGACAAGGGGUCCCCCCGCCACUACCUCCAACCCUGGGCCACACGGCAGGUGGUGAGCAGCUGGCAAGUGAGCAAAGCUUCAUCUGUCUUUACGGCCACUUCCCAUUGCUCGCAUGACCACCUGAGCUCCACCUCCUGUCAGAUCAGACAGGAGCGUUGGAUUCUCACAGGAGUGAGAACCUUACUGUGAACUGUGCAUGUGAGGGAUCUGGGGUGUGUGCUCCUUAUGAGAAUCUAAUGCCUGAUGAUCUGUCACUGUCUCCCAUCACCCAGAUGGGACCAUCUAGUUGUAGAAAACAAACUCAGGGAUCCCACUGAUUCUACCUUAUGGUAAGUGUAUAAUUAUUUCAUUAUAUAUUACAAUGUAAUCAUAAUAGAAAUAAAGUGCGCAACAAACAUCAUGUGCUUGAAUCAUCCUGAAACCACCCGCCGACCCCCCUUCCAUGGAAAAAGUGUCUUCCAUGAAACCGGUCCCUGGUGCCAAAAAAGUGGGGGACUGCUGUCUUACGACAUCAUAGAUUCAUGGAAUUCUUUUAUAGGCAGGUUCCUUGGGGGUAACUGAAGCUGUUUCCUCGUUUUUAGGAAAU